GCCUCCCUCCCCUCCCCGAGCAGCUUCUGCAGAGAAACGAAACCGAAGCGGGGGCGGGGCGGACCCGAAACCGACCAGCUGGGAUUUCCCGGGCCUGGCGCGUCCCGUCGGGCCGAGCGUGUGGCACCCGCUAGGACCUCUGACCCCGAUGGGUGACGCUGGGGGUCUCGCCUGGAGCAGCAGGAAGGUCUGGCUCCCCGUGGCCAUCGCGGAACUCGCCAUCAUCCUCAUCCUGGUGGCCGGGCUGGGCCACUUUGUGGCCAAGGAGCAGUGGCUGCACAGCGGCAUGCCGGGGCUGCAGGAGGAGAUGGCCAGGGCCAACUGGACACUGCAGAAGAAGCAGGAGGGCUUGGACUUUUGCAGGAACCACACGCACGUACUGCAGAAGAAUGUCAUUAACCUGACCCAGGAGGUCACCCGGUUAAAUAGCGACAUUGCCCAGCAAGAGGUGGAAAAAGGCAGGUUACGAGAUGAAAUUAGCGCCUGGAAAAACACAGCCCAGCAUCUCCAGGAGCAAAAGGAUCAGUACCACAGGGAGGUCAGCUGGCUGCAGCAGCAGCUCGAAAGACACCAGGAACUUCGCUCCAGUGUGGGCAGCGCCAGGCUGCCCAGCCUCCUGCCUCUGCUGGCAGCCCCCUUCGCUGCGCUGCUUGUCUGAACGGCGCCAGGCAGGGAGCAGAGUCAGCACCCAGGACUGAGUCCCCCAGCUGGGAGAGCUGGAAUCUCCCAGGGAAUAAGCAGCACUGGAUCCUGUGGCUGGCACACACGCCUUCUCCAUGUGAUCUGUUCUGAGUGAUCAGUGAGACUCCGAGCUGGCUCUUCCCUGGGCGUGCAUGUGGAGGACUGCCAGAGGACUGUUUACUGAGGGAGGGGGGCUGUGACGGACGAGGGGGACGCAGUGAUGGGUCCAUGGAUGGAGACGAUCCUGUGCUACAGUUUAGACAUGUCACCCAAAGCUCCAGAUGACUGUUGCAGCAAGUUGGGCCUGUGACAUCCUGCUUGGGUAGGAAACACCAGUGGACUGCUAACAUUUUUUCAGAGGUGGCCACUGAUUUGGAGUGACCAGUUUUGGGGUGCCCCUGGCCUCCAUGUGAGUCACACCCAGUCUAGGACCCAGCGACAGCAUCAUCUGCCGAGCGGCUGCAAUUCAUCUCCCCAGCCACACUCAAACUCUUCCCCUGCCACAUAACAAAAGAUCCCCCAUGCAGAGCGCUCUGCAUCUGAGGCCAGCAGAAAAGAGACAAAGAAAGUAGCCCGAAGUUGGAGGAGGCAGUCUUACCCGCUCGCUGGUUCCAGUGGGUCUGGCUGUUGGGUGGCUGCAUGACCCAGGAAUUUGGGGAGUGCCGGCUGGAGGCACCAGAGCUGAGUCUCCCCUGCAAAUCCUGCAACAUCCAGCAGGGAGGAAACCUUAAUGGAGAGGAAGGAUCGCCCAGUGCUUAGCGUACGGGCUUGGGAAGCCGCACUCGGGGUUUCUAUUCUUGGCUGUAGGAGGGAGCUGUUAGAGCAAGGGAAUGGAGAAACAGGACUCCUGGGUUCUAUUCCCACCUCUGCCAUUGUGUGACCUUGGGUGAAUCAGUUCCCUGCUCUGUACCUCAGUUUCCCUCUCUAUCAACACAGUGAUGCGUGCCUGCCAGGAGAGCUGGUGCCUCCACUGGUUGCUGCUCUCCACCCCAGAGGUGGCUGAAUUUUGGU
RNAcentral lists this long non-coding RNA (1692 nucleotides) under Gopherus agassizii (Agassiz's desert tortoise). Its description in RNAcentral is "lncRNA (ENSGAGG00000009633.1)". Lineage: Eukaryota; Metazoa; Chordata; Testudines; Testudinidae. The record is from RNAcentral.